Molecule: RNA transcript, 827 nt
Organism: Musa acuminata AAA Group (dessert banana)
Lineage: Eukaryota; Viridiplantae; Streptophyta; Magnoliopsida; Zingiberales; Musaceae
Gene name: protein NUCLEAR FUSION DEFECTIVE 6, mitochondrial-like
Exons: 4
Source: RefSeq, a predicted model, not a curated record
GGGCUUUUAAUCCUCCGACCCAACACAACGUGGUCUGCUGCUUCUAGCAACAUCGCCUUGUGCUUUUAGGGUUUCAGCUUCGUUCACAAAACCUUCGCUGCCGGUCUUUUCUCGGCCUUCACCAUUCCCUCCGCUCGCCAUGGCUGCCGCCGCUAGGUCGGUCCUUCGCUCGGCUUCGAUCCGCGGCGGCGCGGCGCGGGUCGCGGCCGAGGCCGUAGCGGCCUCGCGCCCUCAGCUUCGCUGUCUCCCCAAACUGAGGCCGGCAGCCGCCAGUCGUUUCCUCAGGUCUCCCGUGGAGGCGAGCUUCUGUGUGGAGUCGCUAAUGCCGAUGCACAGCGCAACGGCCACGGCGUUGUUGACCUCGAUGCUCAAUGUUUCGCGUAGGGGAUAUGGAUGGCUCUCCGAAGGAUAUGAUGAAACUAGAUGAAAGCCAAGCACCAAAAGCUGGCAAUGAUGAUGUAUGAUGGUCUAUCAAGUGGAUUCAGCAAUACUUUGGAUUCAGAAAAGCCAAAUGCUUAUUUGAGAAUGAUACCUUGCUAUGCUAUAGAAGGAACCGACUCGCUUGGUUUUGUGAUUUAUUUUUUCCUGCUAGAUGGACCAAUUUAAGGUUCUCGGCUUUUGCUUUUACCCUCCAUUGUUUGUUUUGCUGAUUCACCCUCGAUAUGUUCAAGCUUUAUGAAACUGAGGGACCAGCUGCAAAUAAGAAGGGGAAAUGUCUGUCUCAAUCAAUAAAUUAAGAAUGUUGGAAAUUAUUUUGAAGCAAUAUCAGUGCUCCUCUCUCAUCCAUCAUAUAAUGGGAUUGCCAAGUGAAUCUCAGUUUGCACUCA